Molecule: ribosomal RNA, 253 nt
Filed under: uncultured bacterium
Lineage: Bacteria
Description: partial 16S ribosomal RNA
Rfam family: Bacterial small subunit ribosomal RNA
Source: RNAcentral
UACGGGGGGGGCUAGCGUUGUUCGGAAUUACUGGGCGUAAAGGGCGCGUAGGCGGUUCAUUAAGUUGGAUGUGAAAACUCUGGGCUUAACCCAGAGCCUGCAUUCAAAACUGAUGGGCUGGAGUUCUGGAGGGGAUAGCGGAAUUCCUGGUGUAGCGGUGAAAUGCGUAGAUAUCAGGAGGAACACCGGUGGCGAAGGCGGCUAUCUGGACAGAAACUGACGCUGAGGCGCGAAAGCUAGGGGAGCAAACGGG